This 2754-nucleotide ribosomal RNA is filed under the name Salmonella enterica subsp. enterica serovar Enteritidis. RNAcentral describes it as "partial 23S ribosomal RNA". It matches the Rfam family "Bacterial large subunit ribosomal RNA". The record is from RNAcentral. Lineage: Bacteria; Pseudomonadati; Pseudomonadota; Gammaproteobacteria; Enterobacterales; Enterobacteriaceae.
GGUGGAUGCCCUGGCAGUCAGAGGCGAUGAAGGGCGUGCUAAUCUGCGAUAAGCGCCGGUAAGGUGAUAUGAACCGUUAUAACCGGCGAUACCCGAAUGGGGAAACCCAGUGUGAUUCGUCACACUAUCAUUAACUGAAUCCAUAGGUUAAUGAGGCGAACCGGGGGAACUGAAACAUCUAAGUACCCCGAGGAAAAGAAAUCAACCGAGAUUCCCCCAGUAGCGGCGAGCGAACGGGGAGGAGCCCAGAGCCUGAAUCAGCAUGUGUGUUAGUGGAAGCGUCUGGAAAGGCGCGCGAUACAGGGUGACAGCCCCGUACACAAAAGCGCAUGUGCUGUGAGCUCGAUGAGUAGGGCGGGACACGUGGUAUCCUGUCUGAAUAUGGGGGGACCAUCCUCCAAGGCUAAAUACUCCUGACUGACCGAUAGUGAACCAGUACCGUGAGGGAAAGGCGAAAAGAACCCCGGCGAGGGGAGUGAAAAAGAACCUGAAACCGUGUACGUACAAGCAGUGGGAGCACCCUUUGGGUGUGACUGCGUACCUUUUGUAUAAUGGGUCAGCGACUUAUAUUCUGUAGCAAGGUUAACCGAAUAGGGGAGCCGGAGGGAAACCGAGUCUUAAUUGGGCGUUAAGUUGCAGGGUAUAGACCCGAAACCCGGUGAUCUAGCCAUGGGCAGGUUGAAGGUUGGGUAACACUAACUGGAGGACCGAACCGACUAAUGUUGAAAAAUUAGCGGAUGACCUGUGGCUGGGGGUGAAAGGCCAAUCAAACCGGGAGAUAGCUGGUUCUCCCCGAAAGCUAUUUAGGUAGCGCCUCGUGAAUUCAUCUCCGGGGGUAGAGCACUGUUUCGGCUAGGGGGCCAUCCCGGCUUACCAACCCGAUGCAAACUGCGAAUACCGGAGAAUGUUAUCACGGGAGACACACGGCGGGUGCUAACGUCCGUCGUGAAGAGGGAAACAACCCAGACCGCCAGCUAAGGUCCCAAAGUCAUGGUUAAGUGGGAAACGAUGUGGGAAGGCCCAGACAGCCAGGAUGUUGGCUUAGAAGCAGCCAUCAUUUAAAGAAAGCGUAAUAGCUCACUGGUCGAGUCGGCCUGCGCGGAAGAUGUAACGGGGCUAAACCAUGCACCGAAGCUGCGGCAGCGACACUGUGUGUUGUUGGGUAGGGGAGCGUUCUGUAAGCCUGUGAAGGUGUGUCGUGAGGCAUGCUGGAGGUAUCAGAAGUGCGAAUGCUGACAUAAGUAACGAUAAAGCGGGUGAAAAGCCCGCUCGCCGGAAGACCAAGGGUUCCUGUCCAACGUUAAUCGGGGCAGGGUGAGUCGACCCCUAAGGCGAGGCCGAAAGGCGUAGUCGAUGGGAAACGGGUUAAUAUUCCCGUACUUGGUGUUACUGCGAAGGGGGGACGGAGAAGGCUAUGUUGGCCGGGCGACGGUUGUCCCGGUUUAAGCGUGUAGGUGUGUGUUCCAGGUAAAUCCGGUUCACUUUAACACUGAGGCGUGACGACGAGGCACUACGGUGCUGAAGCAACAAAUGCCCUGCUUCCAGGAAAAGCCUCUAAGCAUCAGGUAACAUCAAAUCGUACCCCAAACCGACACAGGUGGUCAGGUAGAGAAUACCAAGGCGCUUGAGAGAACUCGGGUGAAGGAACUAGGCAAAAUGGUGCCGUAACUUCGGGAGAAGGCACGCUGACACGUAGGUGAAGUGAUUUACUCAUGGAGCUGAAGUCAGUCGAAGAUACCAGCUGGCUGCAACUGUUUAUUAAAAACACAGCACUGUGCAAACACGAAAGUGGACGUAUACGGUGUGACGCCUGCCCGGUGCCGGAAGGUUAAUUGAUGGGGUCAGCGCAAGCGAAGCUCCUGAUCGAAGCCCCGGUAAACGGCGGCCGUAACUAUAACGGUCCUAAGGUAGCGAAAUUCCUUGUCGGGUAAGUUCCGACCUGCACGAAUGGCGUAAUGAUGGCCAGGCUGUCUCCACCCGAGACUCAGUGAAAUUGAACUCGCUGUGAAGAUGCAGUGUACCCGCGGCAAGACGGAAAGACCCCGUGAACCUUUACUAUAGCUUGACACUGAACAUUGAGCCUUGAUGUGUAGGAUAGGUGGGAGGCUUUGAAGUGUGGACGCCAGUCUGCAUGGAGCCGACCUUGAAAUACCACCCUUUAAUGUUUGAUGUUCUAACGUGGACCCGUUACCCGGGUUGCGGACAGUGUCUGGUGGGUAGUUUGACUGGGGCGGUCUCCUCCUAAAGAGUAACGGAGGAGCACGAAGGUUGGCUAAUCCUGGUCGGACAUCAGGAGGUUAGUGCAAUGGCAUAAGCCAGCUUGACUGCGAGCGUGACGGCGCGAGCAGGUGCGAAAGCAGGUCAUAGUGAUCCGGUGGUUCUGAAUGGAAGGGCCAUCGCUCAACGGAUAAAAGGUACUCCGGGGAUAACAGGCUGAUACCGCCCAAGAGUUCAUAUCGACGGCGGUGUUUGGCACCUCGAUGUCGGCUCAUCACAUCCUGGGGCUGAAGUAGGUCCCAAGGGUAUGGCUGUUCGCCAUUUAAAGUGGUACGCGAGCUGGGUUUAGAACGUCGUGAGACAGUUCGGUCCCUAUCUGCCGUGGGCGCUGGAGAACUGAGGGGGGCUGCUCCUAGUACGAGAGGACCGGAGUGGACGCAUCACUGGUGUUCGGGUUGUCAUGCCAAUGGCACUGCCCGGUAGCUAAAUGCGGAAGAGAUAAGUGCUGAAAGCAUCUAAGCACGAAACUUGCCCCGA